Molecule: transfer RNA, 72 nt
Filed under: Ovis aries (sheep)
Lineage: Eukaryota; Metazoa; Chordata; Mammalia; Artiodactyla; Bovidae
Source: Rfam by way of RNAcentral
GCCCAGCUAGCUCGGUCAGCAGAGCAUGAGACCCUUAAUCUCAGGGUUGUGGGUUCAUGCCCCAUAUGGGCA